Molecule: ribosomal RNA, 253 nt
Filed under: uncultured bacterium
Lineage: Bacteria
Description: partial 16S ribosomal RNA
Rfam family: Bacterial small subunit ribosomal RNA
Source: RNAcentral
UACGUAGGGUGCAAGCGUUGUCCGGAAUUACUGGGCGUAAAGCGUGCGCAGGCGGUCCGCAAAGUCUGAUGUGAAAGCCCCGGGCUCAACCUGGGAACUGCAUUGGAAACUAACGGGCUCGAGUGUGGCAGAGGGGGGUGGAAUUCCACGUGUAGCAGUGAAAUGCGUAGAGAUGUGGAGGAACACCGAUGGCGAAGGCAGCCCCCUGGGCUAACACUGACGCUCAGGCACGAAAGCGUGGGGAGCAAACAGG